CCUACGGGUGGCAGCAGUGGGGAAUAUUGGGCAAUGGACGCGAGCCUGACCCAGCAACGCCGCGUGAAGGAAGAAGGCUUUCGGGUUGUAAACUUCUUUUGUCAGGGAAGAAUAGAAAACGGUACCUGACUAAUAAUCCCCGGCUAACUACGUGCCAGCAGCCGCCGUCAUACGUAGGUGGCAAGCGUUGUCCGGAUUUACUGGGUGUAAAGGGCGUGUAGAUGGGUUGACAAGUCAGAUGUGAAAUCCUGCGGCUUAACCGCAGAACUGCAUUUGAAACUGGUGAUCUUGAGUACUGGAGAGGUAGAUGGAAUUCCGAGUGUAGCGGUGAAAUGCGUAGAUAUUAGGAGGAACACCAGUGGCGAAGGCGGUUUGCUGGACAGUAACUGACGGUGAGGCGCGAAAGCGUGGGGAGCAAACAGGAUUAGAUACCCUAGUAGUC
RNAcentral lists this ribosomal RNA (442 nucleotides) under uncultured bacterium. RNAcentral's name for it is "partial 16S ribosomal RNA". It matches the Rfam family "Bacterial small subunit ribosomal RNA", at positions 338 to 795 of the family's 1533-position model. The record is from RNAcentral.